GGGGAGAUGGCUCAGUGGUUAAGAGCACUGACUGCUCUUCCAGAGGUCCUGAGUUCAAUUCCCAGGAACCACA
RNAcentral lists this transfer RNA (73 nucleotides) under Mus musculus (house mouse). Its description in RNAcentral is "tRNA-Ser". Lineage: Eukaryota; Metazoa; Chordata; Mammalia; Rodentia; Muridae. The record is from RNAcentral.